UUCAGUACUCACCGUAAACUGCCAGGUUUUUCUGCAGAUCCUUGUAUGUUUUGUCGGGGAGCACCAGUCCCACUCUCCUCAGCACAUUUUUCAGAUUUUCAAUCUCAACCUUCUUCCCUUUAGAAAGAUGCAGAUUUUUAACAGCUCGGGAAGAAAUGGAAAGGCGAGGCUGGGAGUUUAAGGACAUCACCCAUCACUGAGUACCGUUCUGAGAGCUACAGUCAUUCUCUCCCUCUGGCCACUGGUUCUGGGUCUGAAUUCCAGAACACUCUCAGGAAGACCCUGGGCAGCAGCUCAUCUCUUAUUUUCUUCCUAAUGGAUUACACUGGUUUGCCUCUUUGACAUUCCUGUCAAAGCUACAGUAGAAGACAGGCUACAGUAGAAGACAAAAUAAGCAGAAACUUGUAAACACGAGAAGGAAGAGACAGAGGAAGAAAUAUGGGUGAAGUGCAUUCAUUAACUGGCUGCACAGACUCUGUGGACAUGGUGAAAUGUUUUGUAAGCUUUCCUAAGAGACUGACUUUUUUUUUUUUAAACUCUUCUAAGAACUUAUACAGAAACCCUGACUUCCUUCUAGGACAGUGGUAUCUGAAAUACUCACCAUCGACAGGCAGAUGUUUCAUGAGAUCAUCAUAGUCUUCCUUCUCAAGUUCAAAUUCUGCAUUCUUCAAAAUGAGUGGUAGAUGACAGACUUGGACUUUUUUCCCUUAAGAAAUAAGGAGAUGGAAGUAAACACAAGGAAUUCCCAAAGUGGAAGAUGACAGCUUUAGGGACAUGGAGAGCGGGGCCAGAGAGACGGCUCAGUGGUUCAGAGCACUUUCUGCUCUCCCAGAAGCCUGCAGGUUGGUUCCUAGCACACACAUUAUGCAGCUCACAGUCACUCUAGCCCCAGGGGAGGUGACUCUCUUCUGGACUCCAUGGGCUCCUGCACACACGUGCAUAUACCCACAUACAAGACAUAUAAUUUAAACAUUAAAUCCUUAAAAAAGACUAUAGAUAUUAAAGACCACGGAUCCAGUCCCAGGGGGACAGUGAACUAUUGGCUGUUUUACAAGCCAGAUCAGUCACUGUUGGAGUUGGGAAGAGAAAAGCCCCCUCACUGAGGUGCAACUUCCAGGUGAAGUGAUCACAGAUGAAGAUACACUGUGACAAAGAUAACCUCAAAUCUGCUACAGUGACACAGCACCAACACCUUCCUCAGAUACGUAAGCCAAAAGAGGAAUGUUACGCUGUAAGCCGUAGGUGAGUUCCGAGGACAUAUUCAGAAUCAGCGAAACUAGCGGAAUCAUGGAAUAGCAAGAUUCUAAUCAGUGAGACCUUUAAACAACGUAAUUGCAAAGCACAGGAAUUGCAGGUCCUGUUCUCGGGAUUCUCACCUUUGAUUGAUGCCACACUGUCCAGUAAUCUCUUCUUAUAGACUGUUCCAUCUUCUGUAAGACAUGGCGAAACACAAGGAGAAGGAUGAGAAUCUCUGUAAUAUAUUCUCUCUCUCUCUGCCUUGUACAAGUGAGGCAAGCAGCUAUCACUAAGUGACACCUCUAGCCGUGAAAGUCUAUAAUUUUAUAAUAUUUUUAUAUGACUCACCUAGAAAUUUGUUUCAUCCUUAAAUAACAGCAGAAGGAUUGUGCUCAAUGCGCUGAGUCUAAGACUUAGUUGGAGCACAUGGCAGCUGGUAAGGCGCGUUACAGACACAUUUUUCUCUUCGGCGUUCUUCUUGGUUUCUCCUGGCAUUGCACUAUAGCCUCUGUCUUUCCAACCCUUUUCUCUGCCCAGGAGGCAUAUUUAUAUGUUUACCCCAAAUGGCAGACCAUAUAAAAGGAUAAUAUUAAAAAUAGUUACCAGUCAGGCACAAUAGUAUAUGCCUCCUCUCAGCAUUUGAGAAGCUGAGACAGGGGAUUACAAUUUGAGGACAACUUGGGCUACAUAGUAAGCUCAAGGCCAGUCUGAGGUAUGUAAUGAGUCUCUCUAAAAGUGUCAAUUUGAGCAGUAAUAAAAACAAACAUUUUAAAUUACUUGCUAAAUUAACUCCAUAAGCGAAGGUGAAGUAAAAUUGGGACAGAUAAUAUCCACCAGUACAACAUAUCCUUAUGGGUUCCAUCUGUCCCCAGAAAGCUCCAGCCUGUGGACCCUCGGUGUCUGGCACAUGUUUGAUGUAGUCUCCAGUCCAGGCCAUUUGCCUCUCCUUUAUACUUUCACAGAACCAAAGUGCUAAGAAAGCUGCAGGGUGUUAGAGGGCUUGCUUAGCAUGCAGAAGAGACCAUCCUGAUCACCAGCAGUAUCAAAGGGAAGGAGGGAGGCAGGGAAGGAAAGAAGGGAGGGUGUAAGGGAGGGAAGGAGGAGGCAAUUAUUGAGAUUGGUUUCUUGAGAGAACAAUGAGGAGGCAGGUGGGAGAGGUGGCAGAUGCAGCAAAUGGGCAGCUUUAGGUGCAUGUGGUGAGAAUUCAGAUGGGGGGGAUUGCAGACACAGGGCAUGGUAGUCUUAGGUACAUGUGUAAGAAUUCAGAAGGGGAGACUGCAGACACAGGGCAUGGGCAGCCUUAGGUGCAUGUGUAAGAAUUCAGAAGGGGAGACUGCAGACACAGGGCAUGGGCAGCCUUAGGUGCAUGCAACAAGAAUUCAGAUGGGGGAGAUUGCAGACACAGGGAAUGGGCAGCCUUAGGUGCAUGCAGUAAGAAUUCAGAUGGGGGAGAUUGCAGACACAGGGCAUGGGCAGCCUUAGGUGCAUGCAGUAAGAAUUCAGAUGGGGGAGAUUGCAGACACAGGGAAUGGGCAGCCUUAGGUGCAUGCAGUAAGAAUUCAGAUGGGGAGACUGCAGACACAGGGCAUGGGCAGCCUUAGGUGCACGCAACAAGAAUUCAGAUGGGGGAGAUUGCAGACACAGGGCAUGGGCAGCCUUAGGUGCAUGCAGUAAGAAUUCAGAUGGGGGAGAUUGCAGACACAGGGCAUGGGCAGCCUUAGGUGCAUGUGGUAAGAAUUCAGAUGGGGGAGAUUGCAGACACAGGGCAUGGGCAGUCUUAGGUGCAUGCAACAAGAAUUCAGAUGGGCACUGAGCUUUGACUGCUCAGGAUGCUGCUGCUCCCUCCAGGGGGCAAGAGUACCCUUGCCAAUGUGCAAGCUUGCCCUUGCUUGGGGGACAAUUGGGAUAGGAAGGAUGGGAGCUGGGGCAGGGAAGAAUGGCUCUGUCGGGGUCCUUGGAACUGGUCAGGAUGUACAGGUGAAGGUCAGGAUAGCUCUAGGUCUUUUUUCCCCACCAUGAGCCAUGCAGGUGAUCUGGAGGUAGAACUUUUGAGGGGCUUGUGGGUUAUGCCACCAACACAGUGGAUACUGUCUGUACAGAUGCAUGAUGCUGGAGGGACCCUGCUCACAGGAAUUUACUUUUAGCUGGAUUGUGGGGAGAUGGGAGGUUUCCCAGGGGACAGACAGAUGGGAGAUACACUGCAGGGAGCUGGGGGCGGGGCUACAGAAUUUAGCCAGGGCUCACUGGUUGAAUAGAAGUUUCUCAGUUUCAAAUUAAAACACAAACAAGACAAAGGCUUCUUAUUCACCACUGUUCUCACCCAGAAGCCCACAGUACCCCAUUCAUUUCUCUGAACACCAGCAGCAUGCUAAAUACUCACUAGUGAUGGGCAGAGAUUUCAAUAGCUUCAAUUCUUCUUUUUCAGUGAGGGCAAUUCCCAUGUUCCCCAGAACGUCUUUUAAGUCUUUGGUGUCAACUCUUUCUCCUUUAAGUAAAUGGGAGUUAUUUCAGGUUGAGAGAUAAUGUAAUGAACGACAGCACUAUCUCUAGCUGCUGGGUGAAGCAAGCACAAAGAUGUGAGCCAACACCACUAAAUUGGAGUGAUUUGAAAGUCAGUAUUUGAAAGCAAGUUUUAAGUCGGGUUAGAGGACAACACUUGUCUCCUGUGCUGGGGGUCAGUACAGCAUGGAGCAGCACUGUGUGACAACCGGUGACCGUGGCAGCACUACAGUUUGAGUUCUCUCUGAAGUUCACAUUGAAACUUCAUAUUCAGUACAGUGGUAACAAGAGGCAGGAGCUUAAGGAGGAAGUGAGGUCACGAGGCUUUUCCUGCAUGGGGUUACAGGCCUCUGGAGAGGCUCACAAAGCAGGAGGCCCUUGGUUUUCCCUUUCCACAUCCCCCACAAAGUGAGGACACAGUGUCCAAGGCACUAAAUCAGGAAGUGGCCCGAAACGCAGCAGACACUGAGUAUGCAAGUGUGUUGGUGUGGGCUUUCCAGACUCCACAGGGUUGAAAAAGAAUUAUCUACUGAUUAUAUGUUACUUAGACUGUGUUUUUUUUUUUAAAUAAAAGUAUGAGAACAUUAAGACAGACGGCAUGGGACUUACAUAAUUCUACUUACAUGUAAAAAUCUCUCAUUUCUACUUAAUGGCCUGAUUUAUGGGACUGACUGUUCAUACUGAUCAUAACCCUGAUGCAAAAAUUUUGUAUUCAGCUUCACUAUGGUAAUGUAUAUUUUGUUUCUUCAAACACUAGUGAAAUAAACACUGUACAGACACAAA
Long non-coding RNA from Peromyscus californicus insignis, 4518 nucleotides. RefSeq lists it as uncharacterized. The record is from RefSeq and is a predicted model, not a curated record. The transcript has 2 exons. Lineage: Eukaryota; Metazoa; Chordata; Mammalia; Rodentia; Cricetidae.